AGGGUUUGAUCCUGGCUCAGGAUGAACGCUGGCGGCGUGCCUAAUACAUGUAAGUCGAACGUGCGGGGGACUUCGGUUCCCCAAAAGUGGCGCAUGGGUGAGUAACACGUAGCUGACCUACCCUUCGCAGGGGGAUAACUCGCCGAAAGGCGAGCUAAUACCGCGUACGCUCCGGGGCUUUAGAAACCCUGGAGGAAAGCGUUAUGAAGCGGCGAAGGCGGGGGCUGCGGACCAUCAGCUAGUUGGGGCGGUAAUGGCGCACCAAGGCGACGACGGUUCGGGGACCUGAGAGGGUGACCCCCCACACUGGCACUGAGAGACGGGCCAGACUCCUACGGGAGGCAGCAGUAAGGAAUAUUGCACAAUGGGCGCAAGCCUGAUGCAGCAACGCCGCGUGCCGGAUGAAGGUCUUCGGAUCGUAAACGGCUUUUCUCAGGGACGAGCAAGGACGGUACCUGAGGAAUAAGUCUCGGCUAACUACGUGCCAGCAGCCGCGGUAACACGUAGGAGACGAGCGUUAUCCGGAUUUACUGGGCGUAAAGCGCGGGUCGGUGGGGUCUUAAGUCAUGCGUGAAAGCUCUCGGCUUAACCGGGAGAGGUCGUGUGAAACUGGGAUUCUCAGAGGUAGGUAGAGGCAGAUGGAAUUCCGGGUGGAGUGGUGAAAUGCGUAGAGAUCCGGAGGAACACCAGUGGCGAAGGCGAUCUGCUAGGCCUGACCUGACACUCAGCCGCGACAGCAUGGGGAGCGAACGGGAUUAGAAACCCCGGUAGUCCAUGCCGUAAACGAUGCAUACUAGACGUUGGGGAAGCAUAGCUUCUUCAGU
Molecule: ribosomal RNA, 824 nt
Filed under: uncultured Chloroflexota bacterium
Lineage: Bacteria; Bacillati; Chloroflexota
Description: bacterial SSU rRNA
Rfam family: Bacterial small subunit ribosomal RNA
Source: RNAcentral